GAAAAUAAUUUUCUUAAUAAAAAAAUUGUAUUUACUUAGAAGCAUUCAGAAUGUCAACAAAACAGCUGCCAUUUUUUUGCAAUUACAGAGUGGUAUUCAGUUAACAGAACAACAAUUACCUUCGUAUAAGCUGCAUCAGAGACAACUGAAGAUGGAAAAAAAAAAAAAAGAAAACCAAAAGAAAAAAAAAAACAAAAACAAAAAACAAAAAAAGAAAGAAACCAAAAACCAAACUACUGUCCCCAUAUAUAACUAAUUUGUGCUGUGCACCAACAAGAACCUGCUUUAAUUUCCAUGCCAAUUUACAACCCACAGACUGUACCAGGCAAGGUUAGUGGCUAUUGAAAAUACCACCAGGACAGGGCUAGCUAAAGACACAUUCGGUAGUGUGUUAACUAUACAAAAAAAAAAAAAAA
Molecule: long non-coding RNA, 416 nt
Filed under: Rattus norvegicus (Norway rat)
Lineage: Eukaryota; Metazoa; Chordata; Mammalia; Rodentia; Muridae
Description: long non-coding RNA NONRATT023496
Source: RNAcentral